UACGAAGGUGGCAAGCGCUGUUCGGAUUUACUGGGCGUACAGGGAGCGUAGGCGGUUGGAUAAGCCCUCCGUGAAAUCUCCAGGCUUAACCUGGAAAGUGCAGAGGGGACUGUUCAGCUAGAGGAUGGGAGAGGAGCGCGGAAUUCCCGGUGUAGCGGUGAAAUGCGUAGAGAUCGGGAGGAACACCGGUGGCGAAGGCGGGUCUCUGGGCCGAUAUUGACGCUGAGGAGCGAAAGCGUGGGGAGCAAACAGG
This 253-nucleotide ribosomal RNA is filed under the name uncultured bacterium. RNAcentral describes it as "partial 16S ribosomal RNA". It matches the Rfam family "Bacterial small subunit ribosomal RNA", at positions 524 to 776 of the family's 1533-position model. The record is from RNAcentral.